This 261-nucleotide ribosomal RNA is filed under the name uncultured archaeon. RNAcentral describes it as "partial 16S ribosomal RNA". It matches the Rfam family "Archaeal small subunit ribosomal RNA", at positions 748 to 1008 of the family's 1478-position model. The record is from RNAcentral.
AGGGUGUGAACGCUGCAGACUUGGUGUUGGAAGCCCUUUGGGGGCAUUCAGUGCCGGAGAGAAGUUGUUAAGUCUGCUACUUGGGGAGUACGUCCGCAAGGAUGAAACUUAAAGGAAUUGGCGGGGGAGCACCGCAACGGGAGGAGCGUGCGGUUUAAUUGGAUUCAACACCGUAAAACUCACCAGGGAAGACUGUUACAUGAAGGCCGAGAUGAAGACUCUGCUAGAUUUUCAGAGAGGUGGUGCAUGGCGUCAGUGACU